ACAACAUGGGCCAAGUGGGAGAAUGUUAGAUUAUGGCCUCACAAUUGCCACAAAUUGGGCCUUUAAACUAAGCUCAUUAAGUCUAGCCCAUUAUCUAGAACCCUGUACUACGGUUUCUCAUACGGAUGAGAUUGACUGUAUGGGCAGUUUCUUUGUAUGGGACAGAAACUGUGGAUGGAAGUUCCGUAACUUCCAUCCUUCUUCCUCUUUAAAAAUCCACCCUUGAUGGGAGGAUUAGGAUCUGUAGGACGAGAGGAAAUCAGAGAGAGGUCUCUGGCCUUGCAAGCAAAAAGCCCUAUUCCAUUGUUGGCACUUGAGAGAGGCUAGAAGAUUUCACUCUUCUCCGUCGAAGGAUUGAGGUCGCAUCCUGCUUGUGUGGAUCGACAUCCCCUUCAUGGCUGGAGUAUUUUCUGUAUUGAGAUUAAGUUAUUCAUCUCACAUAACAAUCAUAAUAAUUGUCUAAAAUGACAGUUCAACUUAAACAAAUCCUAAUUUAAAAUAGCUUGUGCCACUAUCUGUGAGGAACCGUAUGGGCGUGUGUUUAGUCUCACAUCGGUUAUUCGCUGGGUAGAUCUUGGGUACUCAUACAGGAUCAAAAAACCCAAAUAAUAACUUCCGGCUAGCCAUUUUAGGUGAGGUCCUAGGUUGUUAUAAAUAGUAUCGGAGCGGACCCAACUCAUAAUCUAUGUGGACCAGGAAACACUGCAAUACGGAUCCAUUGGGGCUGACCACGAGCCGAUCGUAGUGUUUGUGAUUAGAUUUGAACCCUUAGCUUG
Molecule: long non-coding RNA, 776 nt
Filed under: Phoenix dactylifera (date palm)
Lineage: Eukaryota; Viridiplantae; Streptophyta; Magnoliopsida; Arecales; Arecaceae
Description: long non-coding RNA (PDAC_LNC018358)
Source: RNAcentral